This 468-nucleotide ribosomal RNA is filed under the name uncultured bacterium. RNAcentral describes it as "partial 16S ribosomal RNA". It matches the Rfam family "Bacterial small subunit ribosomal RNA", at positions 28 to 507 of the family's 1533-position model. The record is from RNAcentral.
GACGAACGCUGGCGGCGUGCUUAACACAUGCAAGUCGAACGGAAAGACCCUGCUUUUGUGGGGUGCUCGAGUGGCGAACGGGUGAGUAACACGUGAGUAACCUGCCCUUGACUUUGGGAUAACUUCAGGAAACUGGGGCUAAUACCGGAUAGGAGCUCCUGCUGCGUGGUGGGGGUUGGAAAGUUUCGGCGGUUGGGGAUGGACUCGCGGCUUAUCAGCUUGUUGGUGGGGUAGUGGCUUACCAAGGCUUUGACGGGUAGCCGGCCUGAGAGGGUGACCGGCCACAUUGGGACUGAGAUACGGCCCAGACUCCUACGGGAGGCAGCAGUGGGGAAUAUUGCACAAUGGGCGGAAGCCUGAUGCAGCAACGCCGCGUGCGGGAUGACGGCCUUCGGGUUGUAAACCGCUUUCGCCUGUGACGAAGCGUGAGUGACGGUAAUGGGUAAAGAAGCACCGGCUAACUACGUG